This 368-nucleotide ribosomal RNA is filed under the name uncultured organism. Its description in RNAcentral is "bacterial SSU rRNA". It matches the Rfam family "Bacterial small subunit ribosomal RNA", at positions 526 to 896 of the family's 1533-position model. The record is from RNAcentral.
CGGAGGGUGCAAGCGUUAUCCGGAUUUACUGGGUUUAAAGGGUGCGUAGGUAGGUCUGUAAGUCAGUGGUGAAAUCUCCGGGCUUAACCCGGAAACUGCCAUUGAUACUAUAGGUCUUGAAUACUCUGGAGGUAAGCGGAAUAUGUCAUGUAGCGGUGAAAUGCUUAGAUAUGACAUAGAACACCAAUUGCGAAGGCAGCUUACUACGGGGUCAUUGACACUGAGGCACGAAAGCGUGGGGAUCAAACAGGAUUAGAUACCCUGGUAGUCCACGCCCUAAACGAUGGAUACUCGACAUCAGCGAUACACUGUUGGUGUCUGAGCGAAAGCAUUAAGUAUCCCACCUGGGAAGUACGAUCGCAAGAUUG